GUUGUAUUACUUAGUAGAAUUUGAGUUAGAGUUUAACUCUAGAGUAGGAAGGAAUCUAUUGCAUGAGGUAGGGUUAGUGGAAGUGGGAGGAGUUAGUUUUAAUUUUAUCUUUUUUUCCAAAAAAAUCUCCCUUCAAACCUCACGUUAGCAUCUCUUUCUUUGUUUUUAUUUUUUCUUCUUUCCUUCUUGUGCCACUACUACAUAGGGAUUGGGGGGUUUUUAUUUUUAUUUUAUUUUUUAUUGAUCUUUGGUUUUGGUUUUUGCAAUUGGGGGGUAUUUGUGCGUUGGAUCUUCAAUUUGUUCCUUCCAUGGCUGCAUCAAUUUCACUCCUUUUAGGUAACCUUUUAGUUGGUUCUUUGAUUUUUUAAUUUUGGAGUAUUGGGAUGCAAGUGAUGUUAAAUUUUGUUAAUUGUUGAUUAAUUAGUUUGUUGUGUUUAGGUGAGAGUCUUGAGACGUUUGGCGCUCCUUCAACAUCGUAAUUUUGUGUGGUUG
RNAcentral lists this long non-coding RNA (492 nucleotides) under Gossypium raimondii (Peruvian cotton). Its description in RNAcentral is "long non-coding RNA (GRAI_LNC011066)". Lineage: Eukaryota; Viridiplantae; Streptophyta; Magnoliopsida; Malvales; Malvaceae. The record is from RNAcentral.